RNAcentral lists this long non-coding RNA (239 nucleotides) under Gossypium barbadense (sea-island cotton). RNAcentral describes it as "long non-coding RNA (GBAR_LNC021681)". Lineage: Eukaryota; Viridiplantae; Streptophyta; Magnoliopsida; Malvales; Malvaceae. The record is from RNAcentral.
AACUAGUCAAUAUCCCAGUAGGAUCUUUCGAUCUUCCACUAACAUAUUGAGUCAGCAAAAACUUCUUAUCUCUGGACCUCAUAGUCGAGAUUAGUUUAGGUUUAAGGUGUUCAUGGAUAGGCCAUAUCAAAUUUGGGUUAGUUCCCACCUUAAACCUUUCAAGGGUUGUCAGGCCUAGGGUUUUAGGUUUUUCCUCUCCUAAAUAGUUGAUUCGCUAAGAAACCCUUAUAAAAUAGUUA